AUGCUGGAGGUAUCAGAAGUGCGAAUGCUGACAUAAGUAACGAUAAAGCGGGUGAAAAGCCCGCUCGCCGGAAGACCAAGGGUUCCUGUCCAACGUUAAUCGGGGCAGGGUGAGUCGACCCCUAAGGCGAGGCCGAAAGGCGUAGUCGAUGGGAAACAGGUUAAUAUUCCUGUACUUGGUGUUACUGCGAAGGGGGGACGGAGAAGGCUAUGUUGGCCGGGCGACGGUUGUCCCGGUUUAAGCGUGUAGGCUGGUUUUCCAGGCAAAUCCGGAAAAUCAAGGCUGAGGCGUGAUGACGAGGCACUACGGUGCUGAAGCAACAAAUGCCCUGCUUCCAGGAAAAGCCUCUAAGCAUCAGGUAACAUCAAAUCGUACCCCAAACCGACACAGGUGGUCAGGUAGAGAAUACCAAGGCGCUUGAGAGAACUCGGGUGAAGGAACUAGGCAAAAUGGUGCCGUAACUUCGGGAGAAGGCACGCUGAUAUGUAGGUGAAGUCCCUNGCGGAUGGAGCUGAAAUCAGUCGAAGAUACCAGCUGGCUGCAACUGUUUAUUAAAAACACAGCACUGUGCAAACACGAAAGUGGACGUAUACGGUGUGACGCCUGCCCGGUGCCGGAAGGUUAAUUGAUGGGGUCAGCGCAAGCGAAGCUCUUGAUCGAAGCCCCGGUAAACGGCGGCCGUAACUAUAACGGUCCUAAGGUAGCGAAAUUCCUUGUCGGGUAAGUUCCGACCUGCACGAAUGGCGUAAUGAUGGCCAGGCUGUCUCCACCCGAGACUCAGUGAAAUUGAACUCGCUGUGAAGAUGCAGUGUACCCGCGGCAAGACGGAAAGACCCCGUGAACCUUUACUAUAGCUUGACACUGAACAUUGAGCCUUGAUGUGUAGGAUAGGUGGGAGGCUUUGAAGUGUGGACGCCAGUCUGCAUGGAGCCGACCUUGAAAUACCACCCUUUAAUGUUUGAUGUUCUAACGUNGACCCGUGAUCCGGGUUGCGGACAGUGUCUGGUGGGUAGUUUGACUGGGGCGGUCUCCUCCUAAAGAGUAACGGAGGAGCACGAAGGUUGGCUAAUCCUGGUCGGACAUCAGGAGGUUAGUGCAAUGGCAUAAGCCAGCUUGACUGCGAGCGUGACGGCGCGAGCAGGUGCGAAAGCAGGUCAUAGUGAUCCGGUGGUUCUGAAUGGAAGGGCCAUCGCUCAACGGAUAAAAGGUACUCCGGGGAUAACAGGCUGAUACCGCCCAAGAGUUCAUAUCGACGGCGGUGUUUGGCACCUCGAUGUCGGCUCAUCACAUCCUGGGGCUGAAGUAGGUCCCAAGGGUAUGGCUGUUCGCCAUUUAAAGUGGUACGCGAGCUGGGUUUAGAACGUCGUGAGACAGUUCGGUCCCUAUCUGCCGUGGGCGCUGGAGAACUGAGGGGGGCUGCUCCUAGUACGAGAGGACCGGAGUGGACGCAUCACUGGUGUUCGGGUUGUCAUGCCAAUGGCACUGCCCGGUAGCUAAAUGCGGAAGAGAUAAGUGCUGAAAGCAUCUAAGCACGAAACUUGCCCCGAGAUGAGUUCUCCCUGACCCUUUAAGGGUCCUGAAGGAACGUUGAAGACGACGACGUUGAUAGGCCGGGUGUGUAAGCGCAGCGAUGCGUUGAGCUAACCGGUACUAAUGAACCGUGAGGCUUAACCUU
RNAcentral lists this ribosomal RNA (1675 nucleotides) under Escherichia coli. RNAcentral's name for it is "23S ribosomal RNA". It matches the Rfam family "Bacterial large subunit ribosomal RNA", at positions 1270 to 2925 of the family's 2925-position model. The record is from RNAcentral. Lineage: Bacteria; Pseudomonadati; Pseudomonadota; Gammaproteobacteria; Enterobacterales; Enterobacteriaceae.